GCAUUUACAUCAUCACUAUCCAUCUCCAGAACUUUUUCAUCAUCCCAACCUGAAACUUGGUACCUAUUAAACAAUACACCCCAUUCCACCCCGCUACAUCUUCUGGUAACCACUGUUCUACUUUCUGUCUCUGUGGAUUUGACUGCUUUAGGUACUGUGGGUAAGUGGAAUCACAUAAUAUUUGUCCUUUUGUGUUUUAUGUGUUUCAUGUAGCAUAAUGUCUUCAAGUUUCAUCCAUGAUGUAGCUAGUAUUUGAAUUUCCUUGACAGUGACAUCAGAGGAAUGCAGCGUAAGGACAAAUCUUUUCCUUUCCCCCAGACAUUUCAACAAGUUUCCCAUCUAUAAUUCAACAAAGAAAUCCCUGCUCAGCACAGACGCACACCUGAGAAAUCCGAGCAUGGAAACAACUGAAGGCUAGUCUCCUCACUCUUCUACACGACCUUGCAAUUUGGGAGAAAUUCUACAAGUCAUGCUGUGACUUCCCAGCACGACCUUGUGUCAUGGCCGCCUAAGGACACAAACAUCUUUCAAAAUUGGCCUCGCUUUGCAUGUAUUACAUAACUUUGAGCGUGGCACAGCUUUUGAAAUGGGAAAAAUUUUCAGGACAUGGAAUGAAGAGCAUCAAAAGGAUAAGAGAGCAAUCUACAGGAAAUCAUAUCUGACCACUCACAGUGUCAACAGCAAUCCAACCACAGGAUACCCAUGAGCACUGGACAUUCCAGGACAUCCAAGAAGACAGCUAACCAAAGGAACUUCAGCAUCUGGAAGGCUGGACCAAGGCAGGGGUGCAUUUGACAGGGAUGUCCACUGACCACGCACCUCAAAAGGUGACAUGGCUCAUUACCAGCCAGCUUUUUUUUGGUGAGAAGUGACCAGGCCCUAAUGCGCCAGUGUGAGCACACUGGCUUGAGAUAACUGGCUGGGCCUGACUAAAUAUGAGACCAGAUUUUAGACAAAAUGCCUUUUAACCCCAAGGUGGGGGAGGGAGAUGGAAAGGGCCUCUUAUAUCUGCAGGGUCUGCCUGCCCUGCACUCGUGCCAACAGGAGGGCUCCACUGGCACAAGGAACUCCAGCACGCUCCUCCUCCAGGUUCAGAACACAUCCCCGCAGCCUUCAAAGCGCCUGACAUCCUUUCAAGUGAGCAACUACGAGGCAAAUGCAAACAGAGCGCGUUCUGGAGGCGUCCCGUCACUCAGCCCUCAAUCUGCCUGUUCUUCCAGACACUCCUUCUCCUGCCUGAUUUAUUUCAUAUUAAAAGGGCUGUCAAUCUGUAUCACAGGAACAGGUUGGGAAAAGUGAGUGAUGUUUGCCAAGUGGGUUUUUUGUUGUUGUUUGUUAUUGUUAAAAAUAAUCGUCUCCCUCUCUCCGGCCAUGCUCCUGCCUCUCCCCACACGGCUCUUCUAGUCCCUGCUUGCCUUUCUCUGCAGGUAUCUACACAUCGGAGGUACGGGCUGCACGUACCAGAUGCAUUUACAUUAGAAACGUGGUAUAAGAAGGCUGUGGCAGACCAGUUUUUAUGAUCCGUCAAAUAUAUCUCCUUUUACCAUCAGAUGGCUUGGCAACAGGACCAUUCUUCUUUUGAAUAAAAUAAAUGUGCCUGCUACAUGGCAGAAUAUUCAGCGUUGUAGAGGCUCUGCCCUGGCCAGUGUGGGCUGCAUCCUGUGGGCUUUGUGACAGCGGGAUGCUAGGAUGCAAUCUGCAGUUCCCGGUGGGAUUGCAUUAUAUGGUGCCGGCUGCAUUAUCGUUUUAUGUUGGGUGUUAAUUACUGCCUUCUCCAGUCAUUGAGGCUAGCUUCCCUUACUUUUCUCUGCUAUUCUGGCCUAUGAAGAGAAUUACUCCAUCAUUCCAUACUGUUCAUUUCUCAUUACUCUCGAAGGUGCCUGAUUCUUUGAGAACCAAUCAAAGCCAUCUUUGCCUGCCAUAUGAAAACUCCCGAAUUACUAGAACAAAGUACCUGAAGUCAGGUGGUCUCCAUGCAGAGGGUCCAAGUCAGUGGUUCUGUGUUGAGCAUGAGUGGGAAUUGCUGGGGGAGUUUUUGAGAAGCAAACUCCUGAGCUCCAACCCCAGAAAUGCAGGUUUGGGGGUGGGGCUCAGGAAUAUGCAUUUUAAAUCAUGGCUCAGGCUUGGGUGGGGUGGGGUGGGGUGAGGUAGGUGGGGGGUGAUGGUGUGUGGCUCGGGCCCAGGCAUCUGCUGUGAUGCAGCUGAUCCACCCCAUCCCUCCCUCCAGGCUUCCUCCAGGCUCUACCUCUUUCAGCUCUGCUCUCCCGUGUAACAGAACAUAAUCGCUUAGGAGAAAGGCCCAAGUCGGCAACAAUAUUAAUGCUGCUCUUUCCUUUCCAAAAGAAUUAGACACAUAAUAGAAUUGUGAAGUGAAAAGACAGGAAGGAGAGAGAGAAAGAAGAAAAAUAUUCUAGAAUAAAAAUAUAAGCAAACUACUACUCAGUAACAAAGCCCUCCAGAGGCCCAAGGAGAAUGCUGCCUUCAGGGAAUUAAUAGACCCACUUCCUAGGUUGGGUCACUGAGGAGUCCAGGGAGGUCAGAUGAGAGAAGAUGCUGGUGUGGGAGGAGCUUUCUCUGUAAUGCAGCACACCAAGUCUGUUUUUGCUCUCAGGUAACACAUGCUGAAAAGUGGCCCCUGAAAGGAAUGGGGUAGAUCUUCAAGAACCUACUGGAACUUGGGAAGAAAACUCAUGGAACAGCACCUUUUCCCAGAGCUCCCAGGACAGGCACCGAGGCUGUGCUGGUUGGUUGAAUAGUGACAAACUGAACGCCUUCUGGGAAUGCUCUGUUUCCAGGUCACUCCUGGCCCACACCAUGGCUUGGAUUAUCCAAGCCAUGAAGAUCCACAAGCCGGGUCAUGAGCUAUGUUUCCCAGAAGACUGGAGGGGAACUUGAUUUAUUGGUCUUGGAGCCCCAAGGCAGGAGGAGCAGCGCCUUCUUGUAGAACAAUCCCACCCAUUGACAUGCUGAAGCAGCUUGUUCCCCAAGGUGAUAACAUUUGAAAGCUCUGCUGGCAUAAUCCCGGGUGGAUAUUUUCCGCUAGUCUGCCCUGAAGGGACACACUCACACAUACAGUGACAUGUUGCAUGUGCAAAACGUGAGGAGUGGGCUUCAAGGCCGCUGUGUGUGCCACCCUGGAUGGAAAAGGGCUGCAAAGGAAAUGAUAGAGUGUGUUCAAUGGCCUUCUCCUUCAUCUGAGAAACAUCAUUUGAAAUUUUACUUUCAGGGGCCGCCCCUUCCAACAGAUUCUCCUGAAAAAUGGAUACAAAUGGGGAGAGGGGAGAAGGGACUAGAACCUCAAAGGGCAGAACCUACAGGAAUUAGGUUGCUCAACUGGAAACAGGGAUGUGACAGCCUCAUCUGGGCCCCUAGAACCAGCUCCAGCUGGUUUCCUGUCAGUCACAGGUGGGAAAACCACCACCCCAGUGCUGCUCUCAGUUCCUGUCUGUUUUGGGACAUCUGUUCCUGUUCCCCAACAGGAUAGGAAUGUCCCCUCUCAACACAAGAGAGCUUGUCACGCGGGGAGCUCUGGGACACAUGCGUGUUGGGGGCUUCCUGGCAGCUCCUGGCAUUUCAUAUUGGUUUCAAGGUGGCCUACUCUGUGCCUCCCACAGGCCUUGGAACAACAGAGAUCUGGAACAAUCCGUUCUCAAAAUAACAAUGUCUGGGGCUGACGGGAGCCUGGGAGUCCUUCCUUGGUAGGAAUUUGCCUCUUGAACAGGCAGCUGCAGGAGGGGCGGAGGUCCCGAGGCAGGGUUUUGCUUGAGCACAUCACAGCAUUCGGUGUAGGUUGGGGACACUUAGAGAUCGCCAAACCCAAGGCAGGAGCAGCAGGAAGAAAAUACCUUUCUCAGCCAGGUUACUCCAACUCGCUACCGAUGGGCGUUGUAGAUUUCUUCAGGAGGAGCGGUGUCCCCUGUCCCUGCACCAUCUUCCCAACCCACCUGCUAUUUUGGGUUCCAGGUCUCAUCCCACUGCUGGCGUGUGUCUCUCCUCCACUCCAGCCCGUUUUCCUAGGACAUAGUCUUCAACAAAGGGAGUGGCCAGCCAAGGAAGUGGGGAAGCCAAGGUCCCCGGCUCCCACUUUGGCUAAUUAGCUCUAUCUCUUGGAGCACAAAGCACAAACCUAAGAACAAGAACCCUGGGGCUGGACUACCCUUGAGACGUAAUGACUAGAACUCAGAGCCAGAGCUCUAUCAAGGUCUUCCGUCGCCUCGCCUGCCAGCUGGAUGUCUCUCCGUUCAAGGUGGCCGCUGAAGCGAGACCGGCACUGCUUUUUCCACCUGUCACAUGGGAAGCUGGUGGCCCGCUCACCUGCUCCACUCGACUGCCUCUCCCCUGCCUCUCUGCUCAAACCGUGUCUUGACUUGGCAGGGCGACAAGACAGAAUAAAAACAUACACUUC
Myotis davidii is the source of this 4405-nucleotide long non-coding RNA. RefSeq lists it as uncharacterized. The transcript is spliced from 4 exons. The record is from RefSeq and is a predicted model, not a curated record. NCBI's taxonomy places the organism in Eukaryota, Metazoa, Chordata, Mammalia, Chiroptera, Vespertilionidae.